GUUAAUUAAAAUUAAAAAUAAUUAGAUAUAAAUAUAAUUUAUCUAUCACGAAUUGGAUUAGCGAAUUGCGAAUCUAAUUAACGUAUCACAAACCAAAUUGACGUACCAAUUAAGUCUACUAUUUGUGUAUCCUAUAUUUCAUUAACGCAGUACUUUUGAGUUGUGGUACGGGUAUGUAAUAUGCAAUACUUUACAUAAUGAAGCAUAAGAUACAUAAGGGAUAGACUUAAUUGGUAUGUCAAUUUGGCUUGUGGUACGUUAAUUCGAUUCACAAUACGCCAAUACAAUUUGUG
This 293-nucleotide unclassified non-coding RNA is filed under the name Hevea brasiliensis (rubber tree). Lineage: Eukaryota; Viridiplantae; Streptophyta; Magnoliopsida; Malpighiales; Euphorbiaceae. The record is from RNAcentral.